RNAcentral lists this non-coding RNA (252 nucleotides) under Thioalkalivibrio halophilus. Lineage: Bacteria; Pseudomonadati; Pseudomonadota; Gammaproteobacteria; Chromatiales; Ectothiorhodospiraceae. The record is from RNAcentral.
CCCUGCGCCCCGUUCCUCGGUGCCCUGGCGGUUUCGCCGCCGGGUUAAACGGGAAGUCCGGUGAGCGCUCACGCGCGAGUCCGGCGCUGCCCCCGCAACGGUGAUCGAGCGCGGAUCCAUUCCGGAGUCCUUCGGCAGUGGAUCCUCGAGGCUGGCGGCCGAAUGCCACUGUGUCAUGGACACGGGAAGGCGCCGCCCGCCGGGAAUGUCCCGCUCGUCAGCCCGGAGACCGGCCGGGGAAUGGUCGUGCGG